This 989-nucleotide long non-coding RNA is filed under the name Homo sapiens (human). Its description in RNAcentral is "HSALNT0066378". Lineage: Eukaryota; Metazoa; Chordata; Mammalia; Primates; Hominidae. The record is from RNAcentral.
UGGCUUUCUAGAAGAAUGAGCUGUGUGGCUUGUUACAUCUGCAGGCUGGCUCCCAGUGCUUAGAUUUAUCAUGCCUGAAAAUGGACCAUUUAAAAUGCCUUCUCACAGGACUCACCUAAGAGUUGCAGUCCCUAUGACAGAUUGCCUUUCAAGUUUACUUGGAGACACAGAGUGCUUGCAGCAAUGGAGUGCCCAGAGGCACUCCCCACAGCUGCUAAUGCCUUGGAUGGAGGACGGGUGGCAUCCGUGAUCCAGGAUUUUUUUUCUAUCUCUUCGGCGCUUCUUUCAGUGAUAUGAAGUUAAAACCAGUUGCCCUGCUGCUGGGAUUCUAUUUUUACCUUCUAGAGAAGAAUUUCUCAUUUUAUUGGAGUGAUUUUCCUUGCACGUGUGGCUGACACAGUAAAACUUUCAAAUUCCUAACAAGUUGGUCUUCUGGGACUGAACAAAAAUGGGUUGAAGGGGGCAGUGGUGGAAGUAAAAAUCAUCCUUUGCUCUCACCGAAGUAGAGACAGCAGUGGCGUGUUAUCCUAAACCUGGAACUGGGAUCAGAAGAUAUGAAUUCAAGGCACUGGCUCUGCAACCAUUGUGCUUGUUGACAUUGUGAAAAUUAUAUAAUCUCUCAGCCUCAGUUACCUUAGACACAAAGGGGAAUAAGUAUGACUUAUUCUGUGCUAUUUCUGAAGAUAAAAUAAAUAUAUUUUGUGAUUUGUAAAGAAUAAUACCAAUUAUUACCAAGAGUACUCACACAAUUCAUUUUUGUGUGUAUGUAAAUAUAAAAUCAUCAUCAUUCUUUUUCCAGAGAAGACUGAAGAACAGGUAGGCUCCAUCCCUGACUUGAGAUCAAGCAGCAGGUUAGCCAAACCCAAAGAUUAGAAUUCAAUAGUCUAUGAUUCCCACUAGGUUCAUUAAUUCUUAACUGCGGCAUGAGCCAGUUUCUCUACAGAAUUACUGCCAAUAGAACAUGAUUCACUUCUUAAUUGUAAUUUCCC